RNAcentral lists this ribosomal RNA (209 nucleotides) under Clostridioides difficile. Its description in RNAcentral is "partial 23S ribosomal RNA". It matches the Rfam family "Bacterial large subunit ribosomal RNA", at positions 2106 to 2313 of the family's 2925-position model. Lineage: Bacteria; Bacillati; Bacillota; Clostridia; Peptostreptococcales; Peptostreptococcaceae. The record is from RNAcentral.
GUAGCUUGACAUUGGGUCUUGGUACUACAUGUACAGGAUAGGUGGGAGGCUUUGAAACCAGGACGCCAGUUUUGGCGGAGCCAUCCUUGGGAUACCCCCCUUGUAGUACUGGGACUCUAACCAUAGGCCAUGAAUCUGGUCUUGGGACACUGUCAGGUGGGCAGUUUGACUGGGGCGGUCGCCUCCCAAAAGGUAACGGAGGCGCUCAA